AUUGAACGCUGGCGGCAGGCCUAACACAUGCAAGUCGAACGGUAACAGGAAGACGCUUGCUUCUUUGCUGACGAGUGGCGGACGGGUGAGUAAUGUCUGGGAAACUGCCUGAUGGAGGGGGAUAACUACUGGAAACGGUAGCUAAUACCGCAUAACGUCGCAAGACCAAAGAGGGGGACCUUCGGGCCUCUUGCCAUCGGAUGUGCCCAGAUGGGAUUAGCUAGUAGGUGGGGUAACGGCUCACCUAGGCGACGAUCCCUACCUGGUCUGAGAGGAUGACCAGCCACACUGGAACUGAGACACGGUCCAGACUCCUACGGGAGGCAGCAGUGGGGAAUAUUGGACAAUGGGCGAAAGCCUGAUGCAGCCAUGCCGCGUGUAUGAAGAAGGCCUUCGGGUUGUAAAGUACUUUCAGCGGGGAGGAAGGGAGGAAAGUUAAUACCUUGGCUCAUUGACGUUACCCGCAGAAGAAGCACCGGCUAACUCCGUG
This 490-nucleotide ribosomal RNA is filed under the name uncultured bacterium. RNAcentral describes it as "partial 16S ribosomal RNA". It matches the Rfam family "Bacterial small subunit ribosomal RNA", at positions 30 to 507 of the family's 1533-position model. The record is from RNAcentral.